RNAcentral lists this small nuclear RNA (163 nucleotides) under Dracunculus medinensis (Guinea worm). Its description in RNAcentral is "U1 spliceosomal RNA". It matches the Rfam family "U1 spliceosomal RNA". Rfam says of the family: U1 is a small nuclear RNA (snRNA) component of the spliceosome (involved in pre-mRNA splicing). Its 5' end forms complementary base pairs with the 5' splice junction, thus defining the 5' donor site of an intron. The record is from Rfam by way of RNAcentral. Lineage: Eukaryota; Metazoa; Nematoda; Chromadorea; Rhabditida; Dracunculidae.
AAACUUACUUGGCUGGGAGAUUCUCGCGAUCAAGAAGGCGGGAUCUUCAUGGCGAGGCUUUGCCAUUGCACUUUGGGCACGGCUGACCCGUGUGGUAACCCAGAGAGUGGGUUAGCCAACAGCAAAAUUUUUGCGUUUGGGGAUGCGAAGUUCGCUGUCCCUG